Molecule: ribosomal RNA, 496 nt
Filed under: uncultured bacterium
Lineage: Bacteria
Description: partial 16S ribosomal RNA
Rfam family: Bacterial small subunit ribosomal RNA
Source: RNAcentral
GAUGAACGCUAGCGGCAGGCUUAACACAUGCAAGUCGAGGGGUAGAAGUUGCUUGCAACUUUGAGACCGGCGCACGGGUGCGUAACGCGUAUGCAAUCUACCUUAUACAGAGGGAUAGCCCAGAGAAAUUUGGAUUAAUACCUCAUAGUAUAAUUGAAUGGCAUCAUUUAAUUAUUAAAGUUCCAACGGUAUAAGAUGAGCAUGCGUCCUAUUAGCUAGAUGGUAAGGUAACGGCUUACCAUGGCAACGAUAGGUAGGGGUACUGAGAGGGAGAUCCCCCACACUGGUACUGAGACACGGACCAGACUCCUACGGGAGGCAGCAGUGAGGAAUAUUGGACAAUGGGCGCAAGCCUGAUCCAGCCAUGCCGCGUGCAGGAAGAAGCAUCUAUGGUGUGUAAACUGCUUUUGUACGGGAAGAAACACCCCUUCGUGAAGGGACUUGACGGUACCGUAAGAAUAAGGAUCGGCUAACUCCGUGCCAGCAGCCGCCGUAA